Non-coding RNA from Oryza sativa Japonica Group (Japanese rice), 1979 nucleotides. The record is from RefSeq and is a predicted model, not a curated record. NCBI's taxonomy places the organism in Eukaryota, Viridiplantae, Streptophyta, Magnoliopsida, Poales, Poaceae.
GGAAGCGUGAACGGGGGCCAUUGCCAUCUCUACUCCCCACCCUCUCGUUCAUCCUGUCCACCCAGAGCCAUUGCCACACACACACACCGACAGGUGCCCUCGUGCUUCCUCUCCUUUCAGACAAAGCAAAAAAUUAAUUUCCUUCCAGUGGAGAACCUCGAAGUCAAAGAACAACGUGUUCACCAUGCCCAGCGAUGGCAACCUCCGCAUCGUCCUCUUCCCGUUCCCGGCGCAGGGCCACUUCUCCGCCUUCCUCUCCCUCGCUGCCCACCUCCACGACGCCCAGCCCACGGCCGACAUCUCCAUCGUCUCCACCCCGCGCAACGUGGAAGGCCUCCGCCGCCGGUCCAGCUCCCAGACGCGGUACCUCCGGUUCCACGCCCUGCCGUUCGUGCCUGCUGAGCACGGCCUGCCCGGAGACGCCGAGUCGACCGAUGCCGUGCCGCCCCUCCACUUCAUCACGCUGUUCGAGGCCACCGAGUCGCGCUCGCUACAGGACAGCUUCGACGGCUUCGUCCGUGACUUGAUCGCCGACGCCGGAGCAGACGCUGCCAGGGUCUGCGUCAUCGCCGACCCCUUCCUCGCGUGGACGACCGACAUCGCCCGCCGGCGUGGCGUCGCGCACGCCAUCUUCGUGUCCUGCGGCGCGUUCGGCAGCGUGGUGUACCACUCGCUGUGGAACCACCUGCCGCACCUGCGUGCGCCCGGUGACGAUGCGUUCUGCCUCCCGGACCACCCGGAGGUUACUGUCCACCGGUCGAAGCUUCCGCCGUACCUACUCCACGCCGACGGCACGGACCGGUGGUCGGCCCACCACCGCCGGCAGACAUCAGCCGGGUACGACACCGACGCGAUUCUCAUCAGCAUGAUGGAGGAGUUGGAGACGACCGGGCUGCGCAUGCUCCGGAGAACGAUGGGCGUCCCGGUCUAUCCCAUCGGCCCUCUAGUGCGUCGCCGGACGGAGCACUCCGAUCACACCGGUGACCAUAACGACGAUUACGUCAAGAGGUGGCUCGAUACCCAAGAAGAGAGGUCAGUGCUGUACAUCUCAUUCGGGUCUUAUAACUCGCUAAGGCUUGACCAGAUGGUUGACCUCGCCGUGGCACUGGAGCUCACCGGCCGGCCGUUCAUUUGGGCUAUCUGUCCGCCGUUCGGGUUUGACAUCGAGCCCACCAACGGUGGCCAGUUCAGCGCCGAGUGGUUGCCGGAAGGGUUCGAGGAGAGGAUGCAUGCCAAGAACAUUGGGCUUCUCAUCCACGGGUUGGCUCCGCAGGUGAGCAUCCUCGCGCACGCGUCCACCGGCGUUCCUGAGCCACUGCGGCUGGAACUCUGUGCUGGAGAGCAUGGCGCACGGCGUGCCAAUCAUCGCGUGGCCGCUCACGGCGGACCAGUUCUUCAACGCCCAGAUGCUGGAGGAGUGGGGCGCGUGCGUGGAGGUGUCCCGCGGGAGCUGGCCGGACUCCCCGGCGCUGGAGCGUGAGAGGGUGGUCGAGGUCGUGGAUAUGGCGAUGGGGAUUACGGCGUAGGCGGACAAGAUACGGCAGAGUGUGAAGGAGAUUCAGGGGAUGAUUAGUCGAACUCUGGAGGACGGUGGUUCGUCCAAGACAGCAUUGGAGGAAUUCUUGAAGCUGCAUGGUCGCAUUAUGCUCAAGAAAGGCUGACGCCGAGAGAAAUAAUUUUCUGUUUUAUUUCCUCCGUUUUACUGUGUAAGUCAUUCUAAUAUUUUCCACAUUCAUAUGAAUGUUAAUGAAUAUAUAUAUAUAUAUAUAUAUAUAUAUAUAUAUAUAUAUAUAUAUAUAUAUAUAUAUAUAUAUAUGUAGAUUCAUUUACAUCAUUAUGAAUGUGAGAAAUGCUACAAUGACUUACAUUGUGAAACGGAGGAAGUAGCAAUUUGCCCAACCUUGAAACGUGGUGCCUGAAAUAACCUAUUAUGUGUUCUUGAGUACACACGCAUUUGGGUUUUGUAUUGAAAAAGCUAA